GAUGAAGAACGUAGCGAAAUGCGAUAAGUAGUGUGAAUUGCAGAAUUCAGUGAAUCAUCGAAUCUUUGAACGCACAUUGCGCCCGCUAGUAUUCUAGCGGGCAUGCCUGUUCGAGCGUCAUUUCAACCAUCAAGCCCCAGACUUGUGUUGGAGCCCUGCGGCCGUCCGCAGCCUCCUAAAAUCAGUGGCGGGCUCGCUAUCACACCGAGUGCAGUAGUUUACUCUUCGCUCAGGACGUGUAGCGGGUUCCGGCCGUGAAACCCCCCAAUUUUCAAGGUUGACCUCGGAUCAGGUAGGAAUACCCGCUGAACUUAAGCAUAUCAAUAAGCGGAGGA
Molecule: unclassified non-coding RNA, 335 nt
Filed under: soil metagenome
Description: partial contains 5.8S ribosomal RNA, internal transcribed spacer 2, and large subunit ribosomal RNA
Rfam family: 5.8S ribosomal RNA (bases 1-120)
Source: RNAcentral